GACAGAGGGUGCAAACGUUGUUCGGAAUCACUGGGCGUAAAGCGCGUGUAGGCGGUUUCUCAAGUCGGAUGUGAAAACCCAGGGCUCAACCCUGGAAGUGCACCCGAAACUGGGAGACUAGAGUCCUGGAGAGGAAGGUGGAAUGCUCGGUGUAGAGGUGAAAUUCGUAGAUAUCGAGCGGAACACCAGUGGCGAAGGCGGCCUUCUGGACAGUGACUGACGCUGAGACGCGAAAGCGUGGGGAGCAAACAGG
This 253-nucleotide ribosomal RNA is filed under the name uncultured bacterium. RNAcentral's name for it is "partial 16S ribosomal RNA". It matches the Rfam family "Bacterial small subunit ribosomal RNA", at positions 524 to 776 of the family's 1533-position model. The record is from RNAcentral.